This 515-nucleotide ribosomal RNA is filed under the name uncultured bacterium. Its description in RNAcentral is "bacterial SSU rRNA". It matches the Rfam family "Bacterial small subunit ribosomal RNA", at positions 1 to 527 of the family's 1533-position model. The record is from RNAcentral.
UAGAGUUUGAUCAUGGCUCAGGACAAACGCUGGCGGCGUGCCUAACACAUGCAAGUCGAGCGGGGCCGAGAAGCGGCUUGCCGCGGAUCGGCCUAGCGGCGGACGGGUGAGUAACGCGUGGGCAACCUGCCUCGAGGUAUGGGAUAACAGCUCGAAAGGGCUGCUAAUACCGUAUAUGGUCGUCAGGCCGCAUGGCAUGGCGACCAAAGGGGAGACUCGCCUCGAGAUGGGCCCGCGUCCCAUUAGCUAGUUGGCGAGGUAACGGCUCACCAAGGCGACGAUGGGUAGCCGGCCUGAGAGGGUGGCUGGCCACACUGGAACUGAGACACGGUCCAGACUCCUACGGGGGGCAGCAGUGGGGGAUCUUCCACAAUGGGCGAAAGCCUGAUGGAGCGACGCCGCGUGAGCGAAGAAGGCCUUCGGGUUGUAAAGCUCUGUCUAGAGGGACGAAGGACGUGACGGUACCUCUGGAGGAAGCCACGGCUAACUAUCGUGCCAGCCGCCGCGGUAAUACA